GGCAGGGUAGCAAAGUGGUCUAAUGCAGCGGCCUUAAGUAAUGGAUGUUUUUCAUUCGUAAGCAAUCCGCCAUUCGCGGGUUCGAACCCCGCCCUUGCCA
This 100-nucleotide transfer RNA is filed under the name Malassezia pachydermatis. It matches the Rfam family "tRNA". From Rfam's summary of the family: Transfer RNA (tRNA) molecules are approximately 80 nucleotides in length. The record is from Rfam by way of RNAcentral. Lineage: Eukaryota; Fungi; Basidiomycota; Malasseziomycetes; Malasseziales; Malasseziaceae.